RNAcentral lists this ribosomal RNA (406 nucleotides) under uncultured bacterium. RNAcentral's name for it is "partial 16S ribosomal RNA". It matches the Rfam family "Bacterial small subunit ribosomal RNA", at positions 30 to 526 of the family's 1533-position model. The record is from RNAcentral.
CUUGAACGCUGGCGGCAGGCCUAACACAUGCAAGUCGAACGAGUGGCGGACGGGUGAGUAAUGUCUGGGAAACUGCCUGAUGGAGGGGGAUAACUACUGGAAACGGUAGCUAAUACCGCAUACCAUCAGAUGUGCCCAGAUGGGAUUAGCUAGUAGUUGGGGUAACGACUCACCAAGGCGCCGAUCCCUAGCUGGUCUGAGAGGAUGACCAGCCACACUGGAACGGAGACACGGUCCAGACUCCUACGUGAGGCAGCAGUGGGGAAUAUUGCACAAUGGGCGCAAGCCUGAUGCAGCCAUGCCGCAUGUAUGAAGAAGGCCUUCGGGUUGUAAAGUACUUUCAGCGGGGAGGCGUUACUCGCAGAAGAAGCACCGGCUAACUCCGUGCCAGCAGCCGCGGUAAUAC